This 210-nucleotide unclassified non-coding RNA is filed under the name Hevea brasiliensis (rubber tree). The record is from RNAcentral. Lineage: Eukaryota; Viridiplantae; Streptophyta; Magnoliopsida; Malpighiales; Euphorbiaceae.
GGAAAUGCUGGAAAGAAAAGAUUCUUGAAACUUAAAACUAUUUUUCUUCCUCUUUAUGGCGCGGGAAAAUUUUCUGGUGUAGUUUUCCCAUAGAGGAAUAUGCAUUCAAGUCCAAUUGAUAUAGUAGAUGUGUUAUUAAGGCUAUUUUCAUUAGUUCUGAAAUAAAACAUGUAUCAAUUAAAAUUGCAGGGAUUGACUCCAUUGCCAUGG